RNAcentral lists this long non-coding RNA (387 nucleotides) under Monodelphis domestica (gray short-tailed opossum). RNAcentral describes it as "lncRNA (ENSMODG00000043148.1)". Lineage: Eukaryota; Metazoa; Chordata; Mammalia; Didelphimorphia; Didelphidae. The record is from RNAcentral.
UUAAUAAAUAAAAAAAGAAAGAAAGAAAGAAAGAAAGAAAGAAAGAAAGAAAGAAAGAAAGAAAGAAAGAAAGAAAGAAAGAAAGAAAGAAAGAAAGAAAGAAAGAAAGAAAGAAAGAAAGAAAGAAAGAAAGAAAGAAAGAAGAUAGAAAGAAGAAGAAGAAGAAGAAGAAGAAGAAGAAGGAAGAAGGAAGAAGGAAGAAGGAAGGAGGAAGGAAGGAAGGAAGGAAGGAGGAGGAGGAGAAAGGAGAAAGAAAGAAAGAAAAAAGGAGGAGGAGGAGGAGGAGGAGGAGGAGGAUGAGGAGAGAGAGAGAGAGAGAGAGAGAGAGAGAGAGAGAGNNNNNNNNNNNNNNNGAAGGAAGGAAGGAAGGAAGAGAGAAAGAAGAUG